UCGAGGGACGGUCGAAAUAAACAAACCACUUGAAAAAGUUUCGAAACAGUUCAAUUGAAAUUUUGUGCAAUCAGCGCCAAAAUAAAACAACUCAAAGUAAUUCUGGAGAAAAUAAGAUUGUGGAAGCUGCACAAGGUAUCGCAGAGCCGUGAACUGGUACCUCUGGAAAAUGAAAUUAUCAAUACGACGAAGUUGACGCUUUCACAACACGCUAGAAUUUUUUUGCACCAGAGUUCAAUUAUUGAUCAUGUACCAGAACGAAUUUUAAAUUUGUAAGACACUAUCAAGUUAAUGGAACUGGGUGCACAAUAUGAAAAUCUGACAUUAGAUGUAGUGCUGCUAUAAACAGGCGUCAUGCUAUAUCAUCAUCAAGGGCUACCCAGGAGCUCUACCUAUCAUGUCAUAAUUCUGAUCAGAUCCCAUAUCCAAAGAACCCGUACCUCGCAAGUGUCUCAGGUUCAUCCAAUUUUACAUCCGUUUUGCGAAGUAAAGGAAUUUCUCGAAUGUACAAAAUAUGAAAGCGUAUUGUUUUACAUGUACGUUGAUUAGCAAUUAAGGUCGAAUGAUUUGGAAGGAAAUCAGAAGUGGCGAAUAUACAUAAAUUUGACGAAUACUUUAGAGUCAUUAUAAAAA
This is a long non-coding RNA of Malaya genurostris, 633 nucleotides long. RefSeq lists it as uncharacterized. The transcript is spliced from 3 exons. The record is from RefSeq and is a predicted model, not a curated record. Lineage: Eukaryota; Metazoa; Arthropoda; Insecta; Diptera; Culicidae.